RNAcentral lists this small RNA (554 nucleotides) under Histoplasma capsulatum var. duboisii H88. RNAcentral describes it as "Histoplasma capsulatum H88 hypothetical RNA". The record is from RNAcentral. Lineage: Eukaryota; Fungi; Ascomycota; Eurotiomycetes; Onygenales; Ajellomycetaceae.
CCCCCAGGAGCCAUUGACAACCAGCGGUGUCUGUCAGUAUACCUUCCAGCAGGUUGUGGCUCGCCCAGCAACACAGUGUGCUCAUCCAGCAAUCCUGUCGAUGAUCAGUCGUUCCUUCGUACCAUUCGUCUCAAUCUUGAUAUACCAUUCGGUCCUGGUCGCGACGAUUGUAGUUGUUUCCUGCCUGACUUCCAUUCCCUCGAACAAGAAAGUGGAUAGAUCCUUUCCUUGUUGAGUACAGAAUGCUUCCAUGAGUUUUUUGAGCUGAGUGGUACAUGUCCGGUUUUCUUGCAGCAUCUGAUCCAUGGCUAUUGAUGAAAGAAAUUCGUCACAGAGGGACCGGUGGUUGAUGCUAUUAUCAGAGAGUAUGUUAGAUUACGUGAAAGAACUCAAAUAUUCAAUGGGUUUACAACACUCAAAGAAAAAAAGAUAAAAGGGGACUUACAGAGGAUUGUGGGAACAGAAGAUUGUGGAAAGUGUUACUAAGCUGCGGCAGCUGUCUUUGUAUCAUCACAACACACAAGGAAUUUUUUUAUAAUAGAAAAGUAGAAGGG